UUAGGUUCGUGGAUCUUUCUCUUUAUAUGUUGCUCACCUACUCAUCUUUACUCAAUAUGGAACUCCGGACUCCAUACUUAAAUUCCUCACAUAAAAAAUACGUUACGAAAAAACAAGUUUAGAAUGAAUGAAAGGCGCCAAAAUCCACUGUUAUAGCUCAACAUAUUUUAUCAUCUAAAGUUCACCACUUUAAAGGAGGAAUCAAAUACAAAAUUCAAGAUCUUUUUUCAAAACAGAAAUCCAAAAUUUAUGGUGGGGGACAAGAUUGUCAGAAUUUGUAGACAAGAGUAAUAAAUAUGCAUGCAUUAGGGUACCAUUUUAAUUGUAAAAGCCACAGCCUGUCUGGGUCAGGAUUCAAAUACUAUAUAUACGUACCUCUUCAAAUGAACCAAACUGCAAAACCCCUAGUGGAAGAACCGGUACAAGCACAAUAGUCUGCAAAAGAAAUUAAAAUUAUCAACUCAAGAUUUGCUUGAAUUGCCCCAUUUAGUGCAUAAAUAUCAUUUUGAGGCAAGCCUAAUAUAAGGUGAUUUUUCUAGUCA
This 542-nucleotide long non-coding RNA is filed under the name Vigna radiata. RNAcentral describes it as "long non-coding RNA (VRAD_LNC008391)". Lineage: Eukaryota; Viridiplantae; Streptophyta; Magnoliopsida; Fabales; Fabaceae. The record is from RNAcentral.